GCCUCGCACUUGCCAGGCAGGCACUUAUAUAGUGAGUGGUUGAUGCCAACUGAAGGAAGUUAGUCACGUAAAACUAUCUAUUACUUUUUAAAGUGUUUAAAUCUGGUAGCUUUGGAACUGGCCGUUGAAAGAUGGAUCAUUAAGAGUCUGUUUUUGCUAUCAGUGGUGUUGUAUUCUCUAUUAUCACUAUUAAUUACUAUUUCUAAACUACAUAGUCUGUGACAGUUUAUCUCCUUGAAUCUUAAGAAUACUGAUCUGAAGCAGAUAUUACCUCCAUCUUAUGCCAGAGCAGAAUGAAGCAUAGGUAACCAAAACUAUGUGCCUGUGGUCCUAUAUUAGUAAGUAGGAGGUCAUUUUUUUCUUCCUUUAUACAUUGCAGUACAUUUAUGAAACAAGAAAUGCAUAAGACAACUUCAUGUGACACUGUUUCAAAGUCCAAAGGAAAUAAAAAUAUGCAAACUUACAGAUAUUAGUACUGUACUUCCUUCUAAAUACUUGAGCUUUCAUUGAUUAGAGUUCAAUAUUUUUUAUAUAUUUGAUGUGAAACAUGCACUUAUAAUAUAAAUUCUUAAGUUCACAUUUGCUGAGCCUUUGAAAAGUGCAUACCUGUGUAACCAAACUACAUCACAAUACAAAACAUAACCAUGAAGCUAGAACUUUCCUUCAUUCUCCUAAUUAACCCUCAUCCACACUCCGAUCCAAGAAAAACACUGUUGAUUUUCUUCCACCUUAGGUUUCAUACAAAUACAGUCUUACAAUGAAUAUUCUUUUAUGUCUCACUUCCUACACCCAGCAUACAUCUCUAGAUAUCCAUAUUCAACUUUUAUGAAAAAUAUGCCAAACAAAAGUUUGACCAGUGGUAGUUCAGUAAAAAGAAAUUAUUGUAAACUAUUAAAUCCCAUCGUUUUCAGUUUCCCUUCCAAACUUGAAUGCACUGGUAACUCAUUUGUGCCCUGAAUGUUUCGUUAGGAAUUGGAAAUUUGUUUAUUUUUUUCCUUGACUUCAUUCUGACCCUAAAAGAAAUAAUUAGGCUACUCUGCUUCUUAGGCAUUCUAUCUCUAAAUCUUUCUGUGCCUCCUGUGUUUUUAAGCAGUAGUGUACGUCAUUAAAAUGUAAAAGACCCUCAGGUGCUAGAUACAUUUUUAGUUUAUGGAUCUCAAAAACUCAAAUAAGCAGUCAGUGACUAUUUUUAUUUCCAAAAGAAGAGUGAGAUUGGAGGGGAUGGCAAAGGAGAAAAACAUACUGUGAUAAAUUAAAUUGAGCCUGAUUCUCUUCUGGCUUUAUUUAAUCUUUCCUCACUGUAAUAUAAAAAAUUCAGAAGAAAAUAUUCUAUUUCCAGUAGGUCCUUUAGCCAGGCAAGAAAAUAAGUUUCCAGUUCUUUCUUCUACAAAACUAUGUAAGUUGGGCUGGAGAUUUAGCUCAGUGGUUUUGCUGCCUGCUGCACAAGCGCAAGGACCCGAGUUCGAUCCCCAGUACCAAAAAAAAAAAAAAACUAUGUAAGUAUUCAAUCCCAUAAUUUACCACAGCCCAGCAUAAAGUUACAGUUGGAGAACAAUCUAAGUAAACAUUACCUCUUUAUAAGAAAAAUGGAGUAGUUGGCAUAUCUAAUUCAUUAGGUAGGAGCUCUAGUGCAGGCUUCUGUUGAGUAUAUGGCAAACCGUGUUUUAUUUGUUAAUAUGGAGGAUCUAUGUUUACAUUUUACAGUAUUACUUUGCAGUCAAAUAUUUAGCGAGAUCUUGCUUAAGUAGUGUACUUGUAUUACACUUUGACUUCUCAAAAUGUGAAUGAUUGCUUACUCUAGACUGGUUAUUUGUUUCUUUUACUCUUGACUUGUUGGUUGUCUUUUAAUAUUUACUGUAAAUGUUUUCAGUAUUGAAGUGGAAGAUGAAUCAGUAAUUCUUCCAACAGAAGCCUGUUUUCCCCAAUAUUCCACAGUUCCAGGAUGAUGUACAGUGGUUUAAAUCUGCCUUCAACCAUUAUAUAAGGCAUUUGGUGGGCUGUCACCCUAGCAACCCAUACAUUCUGGUCCUAGAUGAUCUUAUUGAAUAAUUCAGUAUUUUAUUUCAUUCCUUUUUCUGAAAUUCCUAUUA
This is a non-coding RNA of Heterocephalus glaber (naked mole-rat), 2090 nucleotides long. The record is from RefSeq and is a predicted model, not a curated record. NCBI's taxonomy places the organism in Eukaryota, Metazoa, Chordata, Mammalia, Rodentia, Bathyergidae.